RNAcentral lists this long non-coding RNA (202 nucleotides) under Phoenix dactylifera (date palm). RNAcentral describes it as "long non-coding RNA (PDAC_LNC004912)". The record is from RNAcentral. Lineage: Eukaryota; Viridiplantae; Streptophyta; Magnoliopsida; Arecales; Arecaceae.
GUUAGGAGCUGUCUAGUGAUUUUAGGGUAAACAUAAGGAUUUGAUGUGUUUUUCCUUUAGUGCAUGCUUGACUGUACUUGACUGAUCCAACAAGCUUUAGUGUAUGCUAGGGUGUCGUUCCAAAUUUUCUGAAUUAGUACCUUUUGAUUCUGAAAUAGAGCGUUCUAUUAAGGCCCUUCGAGCCGAAAUCCGCACCUAUAGA